RNAcentral lists this transfer RNA (87 nucleotides) under Vicinamibacterales bacterium. RNAcentral's name for it is "tRNA-Leu". It matches the Rfam family "tRNA". Rfam says of the family: Transfer RNA (tRNA) molecules are approximately 80 nucleotides in length. Their secondary structure includes four short double-helical elements and three loops (D, anti-codon, and T loops). Further hydrogen bonds mediate the characteristic L-shaped molecular structure. tRNAs have two regions of fundamental functional importance: the anti-codon, which is responsible for specific mRNA codon recognition, and the 3' end, to which the tRNAs corresponding amino acid is attached (by aminoacyl-tRNA synthetases). tRNAs cope with the degeneracy of the genetic code in two manners: having more than one tRNA (with a specific anti-codon) for a particular amino acid; and 'wobble' base-pairing, i.e. permitting non-standard base-pairing at the 3rd anti-codon position. Lineage: Bacteria; Pseudomonadati; Acidobacteriota; Vicinamibacteria; Vicinamibacterales. The record is from RNAcentral.
GCGGAAGUGGCGGAACUGGCAGACGCACCAGCUUGAGGGGCUGGCGUUCGCAAGAACGUGAAGGUUCGAAUCCUUUCUUCCGCACCA